This is a non-coding RNA of Gossypium hirsutum (cotton), 125 nucleotides long. The record is from Rfam. Lineage: Eukaryota; Viridiplantae; Streptophyta; Magnoliopsida; Malvales; Malvaceae.
UUUAUGCAUUUGUACUGUUAAAAACUGACGUGAUUGACAGAAUAAUUAGACAAUGACACAUUAUGUGUCACAUGUACCUCAUGUUUAUGUAUAGGGUGUAAUUUUUAACAAUAGAAAUUAAUAAA